This 1101-nucleotide long non-coding RNA is filed under the name Homo sapiens (human). Its description in RNAcentral is "HSALNT0034189". The record is from RNAcentral. Lineage: Eukaryota; Metazoa; Chordata; Mammalia; Primates; Hominidae.
ACAUCGCGCUUGAGCUUGGCUCGCCGGUUCUGGAACCAAGUGACCACCUGCGCGUUGGCCAGGCCGAGUCGCGUAGCUAGCCCGUCUCGCUCGGACGGCGCCAGGAAACUUUUCGCGCAGAAACUCCUGGAGAACAGCCCCGGCCGCCAGGUACUCGCCCGCCCGGACCGCAAAGCCCACAGAGCUUCAAUUCGCAGGAAGGGGAGUGGGGAGCCCUGAGCUGGGGUGUUCCUGGAAGAGGUCGGGGAGCGGGGGGAGAGGCAUUCCAGGCUGGAGGCCUGGAAACGUUUGGAAGCUUUGCUAACCUUGGAGACCAUGUCAGGAAAGAAGCGUACCCAGGCCGUCUGCUGUGUGCCCACCCCGAUCCCCAUCAGUGCCCCACGCACUCGAGCUCUUCUUCGGCGUCUGCAGCCUCUUCAUCCGCGCGGAGAGGCGGAGGUCUCCCGGAAACAGUGUCCGACUGUGGCACCCCAGAGCGUCCAAUGCGAGCUCAGGCCUUUCCCGCAAGUCUGGAGUUUUCUUAUCCAGUUGAGGCCGCCUUCGCUGUACUCACUCUCUGCCUCCCACCCCAUCUUCUGCCACCCGACCUCCAUCUUUGAUGGUUAGCGCCUUCAGCCCUCAACAGCUUCGCACAACCAACCCCUAGAAGCCGUGGAGUCAGACCGGCCAGGGUGGGACCUAGGUUUUAACUCGGGUUCUGGCUACACACGCUGCGCCUCCAUACAGUUUGUCCCAGGUUUGGCAGCAGGCCGGCUACCUUCAGGAAUUCUUUGCUUUGGCUUCUGUCUGUUCCUGUCUGUUGGGCAAGUUUCUAGCUACCCCACUGAGAGAACCAUAGAACAAGGACCCUGGCAUGGCAUACAGACAAGGAAUGUUUGCUGAAUUAAUGGAGCUGGUGCCUUGCAGCUUCCCUUUUGUUCCUUGAAGUUGCCCUUGCUCUCCUCCACAUCAGCUCCCUCUCCUCCUCAGCUACUUAUUCCCCACCCUGGCUUCUUCUAGUCGCAGUCCCCAAGUACUUGCUGAAUCCUGUAUGGACAGCCUAAGCCUCCAUUUCUGACAAUUCCUGUGGCCCCACUCCAUUUGUUUUUUAGACUUCUCCCU